This 392-nucleotide ribosomal RNA is filed under the name uncultured bacterium. RNAcentral's name for it is "partial 16S ribosomal RNA". It matches the Rfam family "Bacterial small subunit ribosomal RNA", at positions 523 to 918 of the family's 1533-position model. The record is from RNAcentral.
AUACGGAGGAUCCGAGCGUUAUCCGGAUUUAUUGGGUUUAAAGGGUGCGCAGGCGGCCAUUUAAGUCAGCGGUUAAAUCGUGGGGCUCAACCCCAUUCUGCCGUUGAUACUGGGUGGCUUGAUUGCGGUCGAGGUUGGCGGAAUUCGUUGUGUAGCGGUGAAAUGCAUAGAUAUGACGAAGAACACCGAUUGCGUAGGCAGCUGACCAGACCGCAAAUGACGCUCAUGCACGAAAGUGCGGGGAUCGAACAGGAUUAGAUACCCUGGUAGUGCGCACAGUAAACGAUGAAGACUUGUUUUCGGCGAUAUAAUGUCGGAGGCAAAGCGAACGCGAUAAGUGUUCCACCUGGGGAGUACGCCGGCAACCGUGAAACUCAAAGGAAUUGACGGGG